UAAUUUCAAUUCAGUCACACAAUUGAUUAUUUUAUACAGUAUGCUCUUUUAUUAAUAAUAAACAGUGUUGUAUCUCAAAAAAUACACAAGAGACCUGCAACACAUCAGUUUUAUGAAAUACCAGAUUUGUUAGUAAUUUAAYGUCAGUGACAAUAAACAAUCGUUUCAGUGUAUUAUGACAGCUUGUCUUCCUGUUUUUGUUGCAGCAGUGAUGUUCUCGGGCAGCUAUAAAUCUUUAAAUCAGCACUUUGUCAGGGGCUAUUGCACAUAGUAUUAAAUAAAGAAUUUAGAGAUAUCUGGGUUUGUUGAGCCUGAUAUCCUAUUAAAUAAUCUGAAUGUGGCAGUAUGCCCUGUAGGCUUUGAAUGCACCACACAAGUGCCUGCAUCUAAUUGGUCGUGGCGCUGGCUGCCUGUAUAUAAAGGGCCCUCCCUCUACCUGUGUGAMAUGUUUGCCUCCCGGUUCAGACUACCAUGGUUGCGGGUGCUGCACGCUAGCCCCAGGCUAGUGGGUGCAUGAAGGGUGCGUUUAACGACCCUUGAUCCUUUUUAUGGCUACCAGAAUGAGUCUACCUGAUUCCUCCUCCUUUAGAGGAGCUACACUUUAGGCUCAGUGACGCUGCUGUUUAUCCUUUGCCGGUGUUCUGCUGGAGGCCCUAUUUGUUCACUUCCAGUUUCCUAUCUAYGCCGUGUGGUUCCUUGGCCGGCUUCUUACUUGUUGCUGUGUUASACCUUCAUCGGCUCCUGCUGGUUGUCACUCUGCCCUGACUGGCUUAGUGACGCUCAGCUCAAGGUGAUUCUGUGGGUUCCUCAMAGCUGCUGGAUGGAACAUUAAUUCACACCCAAAGUCUACUGCUGCUUGGCUACCUGCUACCGGACGGAGACCUCUGAAUCCUUACCAUUUUUAUAUAUAUAUUUAACAUCUUUUAAAUGAAUGCUGUCUGUUUCUUAUUUUGUUUUUUUGUAUUUGUGACAGGGCAGUGGCCAGCUCCUGGUGUUGGUGGUGGCCUUUCCGAGUGGUGGUACUCCUUUUGGUUUGGUGCACGAUUUUCUUUUGUUUGCUGUGUUUCUUUUCUUUUAGGACACUUCCCUGAAUUUCACUCCUCCCUGAGUUGAGCCAGAACUGACUUAAUGUGUGAGAGGUUUUAAGCUAGUAUUUUUGAAAUAAAAUCAUCGUGUAAUAAACAAACUUAAGGAAUUGUGAGAUCGUCUCAAGCCUGGUCUGUAAGCGGGUCUGUGUGCCUUAAGGUAACUUUUAGAGUGGAGUCAUUAUAACCAAUUUUAUCUUUACUAAAACAGUGCUUUUGAAUUUAAGUUGCCAAUUAUUAUCACACUGCUCCUGCCACAUGAAUAACCUUCAUAAACCCCCUGGAAACUGCAUUGCAAUUUUUUUUUUUUUUAACCAGGCACAGUGACAUCACAUUAAACCUCUGACUUCAUAUUUUUGAAAAAAAAAAAAAAAAAA
Molecule: long non-coding RNA, 1462 nt
Organism: Austrofundulus limnaeus
Lineage: Eukaryota; Metazoa; Chordata; Actinopteri; Cyprinodontiformes; Rivulidae
Exons: 3
Source: RefSeq, a predicted model, not a curated record